Molecule: ribosomal RNA, 697 nt
Filed under: Pseudobacillus badius
Lineage: Bacteria; Bacillati; Bacillota; Bacilli; Caryophanales; Bacillaceae
Description: bacterial SSU rRNA
Rfam family: Bacterial small subunit ribosomal RNA
Source: RNAcentral
GGGCGUAAAGCGCGCGCAGGCGGCCUUUUAAGUCUGAGGUGAAAGCCCACGGCUUAACCGUGGAGGGUCAUUUGGAAACUGGAAGGCUUGAGUGCAGAAGAGAAGAGCGGAAUUCCACGUGUAGCGGUGAAAUGCGUAGAGAUGUGGAGGAACACCAGUGGCGAAGGCGGCUCUUUGGUCUGUAACUGACGCUGAGGCGCGAAAGCGUGGGGAGCGAACAGGAUUAGAUACCCUGGUAGUCCACGCCGUAAACGAUGAGUGCUAAGUGUUGGGGGGUUUCCGCCCCUCAGUGCUGCAGCUAACGCAUUAAGCACUCCGCCUGGGGAGUACGGCCGCAAGGCUGAAACUCAAAGGAAUUGACGGGGGCCCGCACAAGCGGUGGAGCAUGUGGUUUAAUUCGAAGCAACGCGAAGAACCUUACCAGGUCUUGACAUCCCGCUGACCGGUCUGGAGACAGAUCUUCCCCUUCGGGGGCAGCGGUGACAGGUGGUGCAUGGUUGUCGUCAGCUCGUGUCGUGAGAUGUUGGGUUAAGUCCCGCAACGAGCGCAACCCUUGAUCUUAGUUGCCAGCAUUUAGUUGGGCACUCUAAGGUGACUGCCGGUGACAAACCGGAGGAAGGUGGGGAUGACGGUCAAUCAUCAUGCCCCUUAUGACCUGGGCUACACACGUGCUACAAUGGAUGGUACAAAGGGCUGC